This 699-nucleotide ribosomal RNA is filed under the name uncultured Staphylococcus sp. RNAcentral's name for it is "bacterial SSU rRNA". It matches the Rfam family "Bacterial small subunit ribosomal RNA", at positions 69 to 753 of the family's 1533-position model. The record is from RNAcentral. Lineage: Bacteria; Bacillati; Bacillota; Bacilli; Caryophanales; Staphylococcaceae.
GGACGAGAAGCUUGCUUCUCUGAUGUUAGCGGCGGACGGGUGAGUAACACGUGGAUAACCUACCUAUAAGACUGGGAUAACUUCGGGAAACCGGAGCUAAUACCGGAUAAUAUUUUGAACCGCAUGGUUCAAAAGUGAAAGACGGUCUUGCUGUCACUUAUAGAUGGAUCCGCGCUGCAUUAGCUAGUUGGUAAGGUAACGGCUUACCAAGGCAACGAUGCAUAGCCGACCUGAGAGGGUGAUCGGCCACACUGGAACUGAGACACGGUCCAGACUCCUACGGGAGGCAGCAGUAGGGAAUCUUCCGCAAUGGGCGAAAGCCUGACGGAGCAACGCCGCGUGAGUGAUGAAGGUCUUCGGAUCGUAAAACUCUGUUAUUAGGGAAGAACAUAUGUGUAAGUAACUGUGCACAUCUUGACGGUACCUAAUCAGAAAGCCACGGCUAACUACGUGCCAGCAGCCGCGGUAAUACGUAGGUGGCAAGCGUUAUCCGGAAUUAUUGGGCGUAAAGCGCGCGUAGGCGGUUUUUUAAGUCUGAUGUGAAAGCCCACGGCUCAACCGUGGAGGGUCAUUGGAAACUGGAAAACUUGAGUGCAGAAGAGGAAAGUGGAAUUCCAUGUGUAGCGGUGAAAUGCGCAGAGAUAUGGAGGAACACCAGUGGCGAAGGCGACUUUCUGGCCUGUAACUGACGCUGAUGUG